UGGCUCAGAUGGUAAAGCGUCCGCCUGCAAUGCGGGACACCCAGGUUCAAUCCCUGG
This 57-nucleotide transfer RNA is filed under the name Bos taurus (domestic cattle). It matches the Rfam family "tRNA", at positions 8 to 63 of the family's 71-position model. From Rfam's summary of the family: Transfer RNA (tRNA) molecules are approximately 80 nucleotides in length. Their secondary structure includes four short double-helical elements and three loops (D, anti-codon, and T loops). Further hydrogen bonds mediate the characteristic L-shaped molecular structure. tRNAs have two regions of fundamental functional importance: the anti-codon, which is responsible for specific mRNA codon recognition, and the 3' end, to which the tRNAs corresponding amino acid is attached (by aminoacyl-tRNA synthetases). tRNAs cope with the degeneracy of the genetic code in two manners: having more than one tRNA (with a specific anti-codon) for a particular amino acid; and 'wobble' base-pairing, i.e. permitting non-standard base-pairing at the 3rd anti-codon position. Lineage: Eukaryota; Metazoa; Chordata; Mammalia; Artiodactyla; Bovidae. RNAcentral also lists the same sequence under 5 other names. The record is from Rfam by way of RNAcentral.